UACGUAGGUGGGAAGCGUUGUCCGGAAUUAUUGGGCGUAAAGCGCGCGCAGGCGGCCCCUUAAGUCUGAUGUGAAAGCCCACGGCUCAACCGUGGAGGGUCAUUGGAAACUGGGGGACUUGAGUGCAGGAGAGGAAGGUGGAAUUCCACGUGUAGCGGUGAAAUGCGUAGAGAUGUGGAGGAACACCAGUGGCGAAGGCGACUUUCUGGCCUGUAACCGACGCUGAGGCGCGAAAGCGUGGGGAUCAAACAGG
This 253-nucleotide unclassified non-coding RNA is filed under the name uncultured Caryophanales bacterium. Its description in RNAcentral is "uncultured Bacillales bacterium contains 16S-23S intergenic spacer region". It matches the Rfam family "Bacterial small subunit ribosomal RNA", at positions 524 to 776 of the family's 1533-position model. The record is from RNAcentral. Lineage: Bacteria; Bacillati; Bacillota; Bacilli; Caryophanales.